RNAcentral lists this transfer RNA (66 nucleotides) under Samia ricini (Indian eri silkmoth). Its description in RNAcentral is "tRNA-Ser". The record is from RNAcentral. Lineage: Eukaryota; Metazoa; Arthropoda; Insecta; Lepidoptera; Saturniidae.
UGUUUUGAAAACUUAAGAAAGAAUAACUUAUUCUAUUAAUUUAAAAUUAUACUAAAAAUAAUUCAU